AGCAAACUCCUUAAUUGCAUAGAACUCUAAGAGUGCAAAAGAGAAACUGCUGGUGUGGUGUCUUCUGCACCCGCGGAAUCAAUCAGCAACAAGAAAAGAAUGAGAAAUACUUGUUAUGGACUGCUUACUUGCACGUUACUCGAAUUUUUGGGGCAAGUUUGACCACAUGUUCAGCUGCAAUUCAAGUAUGAAGUGACUAAGGAGCAGUGGUUUGCUUUGGUUAACUCGAGAAUAACAUUUUCUGAAAGGCACAGAACGGUGUGAAACUCCACUGCAAUUCCAUUUGUUCUGCUGUAGAAAACAAGGAAGUGGCAAAAGAAACAUAGGAAACUGAUUUACAAAGAUAAAAGUUUAAAAACCAUGUUUGUUUCUAACCGUAAUAAAAACAACUGUUUUAUUUGACUUCCCUAAGCCCCUCAUGCUCUGUCUCGAGAGCUUGCAGAGUUGUUAGUCACCUCUUUAACGAUGACACAGAAAAGCUUUUUGGCAGAGGAAAAGCUUUUUUAGUGUUCCUCAGCAGGAUGGGCUGCAGGGGUCACUAUAACAAGGCUGUUGCACGAACAUUUUUACUUCGCUGUAAAGUAGAUGCAUAUUGCUUUCUGGACAUCUGGUGCCUUAGAUUUUCCUAAUCUUUUCUCCCUUUUCUCUCAGCUUUCCUCCUCACCUUUUUUAAAGAUUUGUUUUCACUCCUUCCCAUCUCACUUUCAGCAAGAGAAUACUUGCACAGAUUCACUUGAACUGUAUGUUUAACUUACAUGCUUUACCUCCUUCAGACUCCUACACAGUUCCCUAAGCCAGCGGCAUCACAGCAGUUCACCAUCACUGUCACUGUUCCCUUUGCACUGGUAGAGCAAGCUAUUCCCUUUUUCCUUCUCUGCAGCAGCCAGCAUUCAGGCGUUGGGUGCCUGUGGAUGGGAGCUGCAGGGUGGUAGCCCAGGCUGCUGGGACCUGUCACUUCCACCAGAUCUGGACUGUGGAUCUUUGAGGCGUUUAGUGGUGUAUAUAUAAAGUGGAAGCGUUGGUUGCUGUGUUGCAGCCUGGUGUCCUUCUGAUUUUUUUUUUUAAUAUGUGGAUGGUUACUCUGCAGAGCACACAUCUGCUUAGAGUGAAUAUUUUUAUCAUUCUCUGCACUGAUUUGUAAGAAUUCAUAACAUUUGUAGACACCCUUUCAGUUACGGGCUUAUUUGAGUUUCUCUUUCAUGAUUUGAUUUUCCUAAUGCAAAUAAUUUUUGGCAAUGUGCACGGAGUUUUGCAUGGUUCCCAGCCUAAUGAUCUCAGGUACAGCUGAAGAAGAAAGAGCUGUGCCCUGGAACAUUGCCACCACUACCAAUUUUAGCUGAAUAUCCACUAUUUUUCAUUGACCCUCAGUCAAUUAAAAAAUUAAUGGGAACACAUACAUGCUGAAGGUGUGCUUCUGCAGCUGGUAUGAUACUUGUCAGUAAGGGACCAUUAAAUUGCCACAUAGCCUAGUACUUUCUGGAUGGACAGAUGAAAAGCAGCGCUGUUAGUGAUGUCCUGUUCCUGCCUCGCCCAGGAGUGAUUUGGUGAGUCACUCUGGCCAUGCCCAGUAUUUAAAAGCAAGCAAGGGAGGGACCCUGAAAUACUGAGGGUGAAGGGUGAAAGAGCCUACAGUGAUUUCACAUCAGCUUUAUCAUAAAGAGUACCAAACUUCCUUCAUUAUGCUAUUGUAUGCCAGAUCCGCCUUCAGGACAGAUGGCUGGAGAUGCAGCUCAUGAUCUCACAGCCACUGCCAACUUUCUAAUUGGGCUAAUAAUUGUUUAUUAUGCAAUUACUAGUUGAUACCUGUAAUGCAAGUUUGCAGCUGCUGCCACAAUAGAACAGUUGAAAACACAAUUACUUGUGUUUGUCCAACUGAGAGGCUUUUGACAGACUUAAGGAGCAGGGGUCAUCGCACACCUUCUUUUCCACGGAACUUGUUGCCUUUGGGACUGAUCUUGGACUCUGCUGGAAGGGAAAUGGGCAGGAGAAAGUCUGAAAGGGUGCCAUGAGGAGCUGAGGACAUAAAGGUCUGGAUGAAGAAACUCCAG
This is a long non-coding RNA of Tympanuchus pallidicinctus (lesser prairie-chicken), 2048 nucleotides long. RefSeq lists it as uncharacterized. The transcript has 2 exons. NCBI's taxonomy places the organism in Eukaryota, Metazoa, Chordata, Aves, Galliformes, Phasianidae. The record is from RefSeq and is a predicted model, not a curated record.